GGGGAUGUGGCUCAAGUGGUAGAGUGCUCACCUAGCAUGUGUGAGGCACUGGGUUCGAUUCUCAGCACCACA
RNAcentral lists this transfer RNA (72 nucleotides) under Marmota monax (woodchuck). Its description in RNAcentral is "tRNA.Ala". It matches the Rfam family "tRNA". From Rfam's summary of the family: Transfer RNA (tRNA) molecules are approximately 80 nucleotides in length. The record is from RNAcentral. Lineage: Eukaryota; Metazoa; Chordata; Mammalia; Rodentia; Sciuridae.